Molecule: ribosomal RNA, 500 nt
Filed under: uncultured bacterium
Lineage: Bacteria
Description: partial 16S ribosomal RNA
Rfam family: Bacterial small subunit ribosomal RNA
Source: RNAcentral
AUUGAACGCUGGCGGCAUGCUUUACACAUGCAAGUCGAACGGCAGCACGGACUUCGGUCUGGUGGCGAGUGGCGAACGGGGGAGUAAUACAUCGGAACGUACCCAGUAAUGGGGGAUAACUAUCCGAAAGGAUAGCUAAUACCGCAUACGCCCUACGGGGGAAAGAGGGGGAUCGCAAGACCUCUUGUUAUUGGAGCGGCUGAUGGCUGAUGAGCUAGUUGGUAGGGUAAAGGCCUACCAAGGCAACGAUCAGUAGCGGGUCUUAGAGGACGGUCCGCCACACUGGAACUGAGACACGGUCCAGACUCCUACGGGAGGCAGCAGUGGGGAAUCUUGGACAAUGGGCGCAAGCCUGAUCCAGCGAUGCCGCGUGCGUGAAGAAGGCCUUCGGGUUGUAAAGCGCUUUUGUCAGGGAGCAAAUCCUUGUGGCUAAUACCCACCGGGGAUGAGAGUACCUGAAGAAUAAGGACCGGCUAACUACGUGCCAGCCGCCGCAGUAA